AUAGUUGGAUAAAGCAUAGCCGUCGCGGCAUCCGUGGCGGAGGAAAGUCCGGACUGCGCGGGACAGCACACCGGCCAAUUACCGGGCAGAGUAAUCUGACGAUUAGAGCAACAGUGACGAAGCAGACGCCAAGUCUGAGUGAAACGGGCAAUCUCUGUGUGCAGCAACUUCAAAUAGGUUUCCAAUGAUUUGUCCCGAAUCGGAAACGGGUAGAGGGCUUGACACUUUGUGGUAACACUUUGUGCAGAUUAAUUAUGCUUGCCACCCAUUUGUUUGGUGUCGCACGCGCCGGAACGACACUGAAUUUGGGCGGAACAGAAUCCGGCUUAUAAUCUGGCUAUGACG
This 345-nucleotide RNase P RNA is filed under the name Alphaproteobacteria bacterium. Its description in RNAcentral is "RNase P RNA component class A". It matches the Rfam family "Bacterial RNase P class A". Rfam says of the family: Ribonuclease P (RNase P) is a ubiquitous endoribonuclease, found in archaea, bacteria and eukarya as well as chloroplasts and mitochondria. Its best characterised activity is the generation of mature 5'-ends of tRNAs by cleaving the 5'-leader elements of precursor-tRNAs. Lineage: Bacteria; Pseudomonadati; Pseudomonadota; Alphaproteobacteria. The record is from RNAcentral.